AGAGUUUGAUCCUGGCUCAGGACGAACGCUGGCGGCGUGCCUAAUACAUGCAAGUCGAGCGGACCUUAGCGAUCUUCGGAUCGCUCUUGGUUAGCGGCGGACGGGUGAGUAACACGUAGGCAACCUGCCCGUAAGAUCGGGAUAACUACCGGAAACGGUAGCUAAUACCGGAUAAUUUAUCGCUUCGCAUGGAGCGGUAAUGAAAGGCGGAGCAUAUCUGUCACUUACGGAUGGGCCUGCGGCGCAUUAGCUAGUUGGUGAGGUAACGGCUCACCAAGGCGACGAUGCGUAGCCGACCUGAGAGGGUGAACGGCCACACUGGGACUGAGACACGGCCCAGACUCCUACGGGAGGCAGCAGUAGGGAAUCUUCCGCAAUGGGCGAAAGCCUGACGGAGCAACGCCGCGUGAGUGAUGAAGGUUUUCGGAUCGUAAAGCUCUGUUGCCAGGGAAGAACGUCGGGUAGAGUAAC
This 471-nucleotide ribosomal RNA is filed under the name Paenibacillus sp. N-0-25-2. RNAcentral's name for it is "bacterial SSU rRNA". It matches the Rfam family "Bacterial small subunit ribosomal RNA", at positions 8 to 465 of the family's 1533-position model. Lineage: Bacteria; Bacillati; Bacillota; Bacilli; Caryophanales; Paenibacillaceae. The record is from RNAcentral.